UGACAUAGGAUUAGUGGUCAGAUACUUUUUCUUCUAGAAACCGAUAGAGUAGACAGCUUAAAGAACUAGCAGCCAUUCAUUUCAUUGUCUUCCUGAUACUCCCACCAAUACUGGGAAUUUUAACCCUUCCAUCUUAUCUUUCACUGCUGCUAUACAUCACUCAAAAAUGCUGCCAUUUUUCUAUAUGACUCCUUUCCACUUGGCUAGAGUAUAAGAAUCUUACCCAAGUGAAAGCAAUCUUCCCUUCCAAAAACCUUCUCCUCUAGCUGCAAGAGGCUAACCAACAACAGAGAACUAUUUAUUACAGAUAAGCAUGUCUUGAAGGAAUAAUGAAGACUGACUGUAAGCAUCUAGAUUUGUCAAGUAGAAAGUCAUCAGUUCUACAGAGGAAGCAGCUUCAACAGACACGUGAAACAUUUGGUGCCAAAACCCGGGUCAGCGGGACUCCUUCGGGAGACCAGUCCACUGUCCUCAUCCUCGCUCUGUGAAGAGAUCCACCUACGACCUCGGGUCCUCAGACCAACCAGCCCAAGGAACAUCUCACCGAUUUUAAUUGGGUAAGCGGCCUCCUUUUACUCUCUUCUCCAACCACUCUCACUAUCCCUCAACCUCAUUCUCCUUUCAAUCUUGCCGCCACCCUUCAAUCUCUCCCUUCUCUUAAUUUCCAUUCAUCUUCUGGUAGCGACAAAGGAGACAUGUUUUAUCUGUGGACCCAAAACUCCAGCGCCAGUCACGGACUCGGGAAGGCAGCCUUCCGUUAGUGUUUGAUCAUUAUGGGUACGCCUUUCUUAUUAUUCACACACAUUCCAUUGGUGUCUGAUCUCCGUGGGGACGCCUGCCUUGAUCAUUCACCCACGUUCCUUUGGUGACAAGUCAAUUGAGGGGACACCUGCUUUGGCUGCACACCCACGUUGCAGCCCAGGGCUGCUCCCCACCCACUUCUCUUCUGUCUCUACUCCUUCUUUAAACUCUUGCCUCCUUCACUGUGGGCAACUUUCCACCCUCCAUUCCUUCUUCUUCUCCCUUACCCUGUAUUCUUGAGAAUUUGAAACCUCUUCAACUCUCACCAGACCUAAAAUCUAAGCGUCUUAUUUUCUUCUGCAAUGCUGCUUGACCCCAGUACAAACUCAACAGUAGUUCCAAGUGGCCAGAGAAUGGCACUUUCGAUUUGUCUAUCCUACAAGAUCUAGAUAAUUUUUGUCAAAAAAUGGGCAAAUGGUCUGAAGUGUCUGAUGUCCAGGCAUUCUUUUACACUUUGGUCCCUCC
This 1266-nucleotide long non-coding RNA is filed under the name Papio anubis (olive baboon). Its description in RNAcentral is "lncRNA (ENSPANG00000048309.1)". Lineage: Eukaryota; Metazoa; Chordata; Mammalia; Primates; Cercopithecidae. The record is from RNAcentral.